UGCGGAAGGAUCAUUAUUGAAUAAACCUGAUGGGUUGCCGCUGGUUCUCUAGGGAGCAUGUGCACACUUGUCAUCUUUAUAUCUUCACCCGGUGCACCUUUUGUAGACCUGGAUAUUUUUCUGAAUGCCCCUUGGCAUUCAGGUUUGAGGAACUGACUUCUGUCUUUCCUUACAUUUCCAGGUCUAUGUUUCUUCAUAUACACCCAAUCUAUGUUAUAGAAUGUAAUGAAUGAGCGUUUGUGCCUAUAAACUUAUACAACUUUCAGCAACGGAUCUCUUGGCUCUCGCAUCGAUGAAGAACGCAGCGAAAUGCGAUAAGUAAUGUGAAUUGCAGAAUUCAGUGAAUCAUCGAAUCUUUGAACGCACCUUGCGCUCCUUGGUAUUCCGAGGAGCAUGCCUGUUUGAGUGUCAUUAAUAUAUCAAUCUCUUCAGCUUUUGCUUGUUGAGUGUUGGAUGUGGGGGUAUAUUUGUUGGCCUUUUUUUAUUCUGAGGUCAGCUCCCCUGAAAUGUAUUAGCAGAACAAUUUGUUGACCGUUCAUUGGUGUGAUAAAACUAUCUACGCUAUUAACGUGAAGCAGGGUUCAGCUUCUAACAGUCCAUUGACUUGGACAACUCUUCAUUAAUGUGACCUC
RNAcentral lists this ribosomal RNA (632 nucleotides) under uncultured fungus. RNAcentral describes it as "eukaryotic LSU rRNA". The stretch from base 258 to 411 matches the Rfam family "5.8S ribosomal RNA". The record is from RNAcentral. Lineage: Eukaryota; Fungi.